UAUACUCACUAUUCGACAGAANACUACAAGCGAAACGCUUAAAACUCAUAGGACUUGGCGGUGUCCCAUACCAUCCUAGAGGAGCCUGUCCUAUAAUCGAUACUCCACGUUAUACCUCACCAUCUUUGGUUACUCCAGCCUAUAUACCGCCGUCGCCAGCCUACCCCAUGAGGGCCCUACAGUAGGCAAAAACGCCUAACACAAAAACGUCAGGUCAAGGUGUAGCUUAUAAGAUGGAAGAGAUGGGCUACAUUUUCUAAACUAGAAAAUACGAACAGUGCAAUGAAACCAAGCACUAUGAAGGAGGAUUUAGCAGUAAAAUAACAAAGAAAGACUAUUUUAAACAAGCUCUGGGACGCGCACACACCGCCCGUCACCCUCAUCAACCAACCACAUCCCAUAAUCAUAUAACUCAACAAACUAUAAGAUGGGGUAAGUCGUAACAUGGUAAGCGCACUGGAAAGUGCGCUUGGAAUACAAAAAGUAGCUUAAAACUAAAGCAUUCAGCUUACAAUUGAAAAAUGUUAUCUACCUAACCUUUUUGAGCCAAAACAUAAGCCCAACUCCUCCUCCCACUCAACUAUCUCAAAAAACAAAUCAUUUGACCAGAACAGUAUCGGAGAAAGAAC
Molecule: ribosomal RNA, 629 nt
Filed under: Zonosaurus rufipes
Lineage: Eukaryota; Metazoa; Chordata; Lepidosauria; Squamata; Gerrhosauridae
Description: partial 12S ribosomal RNA
Rfam family: Bacterial small subunit ribosomal RNA (bases 1-485)
Source: RNAcentral